This 253-nucleotide ribosomal RNA is filed under the name uncultured bacterium. Its description in RNAcentral is "partial 16S ribosomal RNA". It matches the Rfam family "Bacterial small subunit ribosomal RNA", at positions 524 to 776 of the family's 1533-position model. The record is from RNAcentral.
UACGGAGGGGGCGAGCGUUAUUCGGAAUUAUUGGGCGUAAAGGGCGCGUAGGCGGCUGAACAAGUCAAAGGUGAAAUCCCUCGGCUCAACUGAGGAACUGCCUUUGAAACUGUUCGGCUUGAGGCCGGGAGGGGGUAGCGGAAUUCCCAGUGUAGCGGUGAAAUGCGUAGAUAUUGGGAGGAACACCAGUGGCGAAGGCGGCUCGCUGGGACGUGACUGACGCUGAGACGCGAAAGCGUGGGGAGCAAACAGG